Molecule: long non-coding RNA, 914 nt
Organism: Helianthus annuus (common sunflower)
Lineage: Eukaryota; Viridiplantae; Streptophyta; Magnoliopsida; Asterales; Asteraceae
Exons: 4
Source: RefSeq, a predicted model, not a curated record
CACUUUAAUAAAAAAUCGGAUAUCGGUAAUCGCGGUGGGAUAUCGGUAAUUUUACAGAGGGUGAAGGUGUAGCGGCCCGGUUUAUGAAUGCACAGAUGUGCAGGUAGAAGCUGCAAAGGGAUUCUUGAGAGUAUUAAGAUCUUAUUUGGAUUCACUUUGCUCUAACCUACGUUCUCACACAAUUACAAAUGUUUAGUCAAAUGAUGAUAAGUAAAAAAACCAAAAAGGCGUACCCGUUCUUCUCAUACAGGUCAUUCACGUGGUACCACAAAAUGGGUGGAUCCAGACAAGGCAAGCUCAUCGAGAUAGUCCUACACCAAUACUUCUAUCAGUAUUUCUCGACAUAAUUCAACCAAGAUACGAUCAAAAUCGGCUGCAAUGGAUAGGGCCAGAGUAUUUCCCGACAUAAUUCAACCAAGAUACGAUCAAAAUCGGCUGCAAUGGAUAGGGCCAGAGGUAGUUAGUGAAGAUUACGAGUCCUUAUUCGCUUCUUAACGGAAGAGCUGGAAGUCCGGCUAAGCAAGUCCGGCUGGAAGAGCUGACAUGUAUGAUAUGCUCUACUUCUUAUGAUAUAGUUAUUGUAACAUUGGCUUACUAAAGAUUUAGCACACUAAGAAUGAUUUAAUGUGCUUAAAAAGGCUUCCAAAUUCAUAUGCCAUGGGCUCGUACAUAUAAGAAACUCUCUCUUUUUUAGCAAUUCCUCAUGAAAAACAACCGCCGCCUCUGGUUGAAGUUUAACAUUGGUGUUCAUAAUGAUUUUUUGCUAUUCAAGGGUUUAUUGAUCAAUAGCUUUUUGGAUGUAUUUUUGCUAAGAUGUUAUGGACAUAGUAGGCUAUUACCAGUGUUGUAUAUGGUAUUGCACUUAUGAUUUAAACAGGGUUUGUUAAAGUUAAAUUGCAAUAUGGAUUUUUUAA